UUUUCGACUAAAGAGUGACCACCUUAUAAUACUUUUUUCUUUACUUUAAUACUUUAAAUAACCUUUGCUUUACUUUUUUCUUUUUUAUUUCUUUUUGACUUUAUUUUAUUUACUUUAUAUUUUAACUCAUUAGGUUCAGCGGUGGGUUCAUUCCCAUAAUAUUUCAAAUGAGAAGAAAAAAGGUAUCGCACAAUCAGAUCACUCAAAAAAGAAAAUUUUUAUUUCGGUUCAAUUC
This 235-nucleotide long non-coding RNA is filed under the name Citrus maxima (pomelo). Its description in RNAcentral is "long non-coding RNA (CMAX_LNC004303)". The record is from RNAcentral. Lineage: Eukaryota; Viridiplantae; Streptophyta; Magnoliopsida; Sapindales; Rutaceae.